This 706-nucleotide ribosomal RNA is filed under the name Salmonella enterica. RNAcentral describes it as "partial 23S ribosomal RNA". The stretch from base 85 to 706 matches the Rfam family "Bacterial large subunit ribosomal RNA", at positions 566 to 1190 of the family's 2925-position model. The record is from RNAcentral. Lineage: Bacteria; Pseudomonadati; Pseudomonadota; Gammaproteobacteria; Enterobacterales; Enterobacteriaceae.
CCACCAAAGCAUUCUCUGGUGUUGAAGGCCCUGCAAAGCAGCAUCGCGGUGGCGGAGCGUCGUUUGCGACGCCCAACACACAAAACAAGCGGUGAAUGCUUUGGGGUGGGGUGACUGCGUACCUUUUGUAUAAUGGGUCAGCGACUUAUAUUCUGUAGCAAGGUUAACCGAAUAGGGGAGCCGGAGGGAAACCGAGUCUUAAUUGGGCGUUAAGUUGCAGGGUAUAGACCCGAAACCCGGUGAUCUAGCCAUGGGCAGGUUGAAGGUUGGGUAACACUAACUGGAGGACCGAACCGACUAAUGUUGAAAAAUUAGCGGAUGACCUGUGGCUGGGGGUGAAAGGCCAAUCAAACCGGGAGAUAGCUGGUUCUCCCCGAAAGCUAUUUAGGUAGCGCCUCGUGAAUUCAUCUCCGGGGGUAGAGCACUGUUUCGGCUAGGGGGCCAUCCCGGCUUACCAACCCGAUGCAAACUGCGAAUACCGGAGAAUGUUAUCACGGGAGACACACGGCGGGUGCUAACGUCCGUCGUGAAGAGGGAAACAACCCAGACCGCCAGCUAAGGUCCCAAAGUCAUGGUUAAGUGGGAAACGAUGUGGGAAGGCCCAGACAGCCAGGAUGUUGGCUUAGAAGCAGCCAUCAUUUAAAGAAAGCGUAAUAGCUCACUGGUCGAGUCGGCCUGCGCGGAAGAUGUAACGGGGCUAAACCAU